Molecule: ribosomal RNA, 611 nt
Filed under: Caenocholax sp. 4 DPM-2010
Lineage: Eukaryota; Metazoa; Arthropoda; Insecta; Strepsiptera; Myrmecolacidae
Description: bacterial SSU rRNA
Source: RNAcentral
AACCUGUAUCUCGUACUAUUAAAAACCCGCGAUUUAUUCGCGUGGUUUUUGAUAUCAUAAUGUACGAGAUAUAUGCUGGUGGAUGCUCGGAAAUUGUAUGCUAUUGGCAGGCAUUUGCUUGUUUCUAUACAUAUAGUUUCGAUAUUCGAUACGAUGAAUUUAAUUUCUUUCGCUUCUGGUGAAUAUUUAGAUUCAAUCGUAUUCUGGCUGCGUUGGAAACGUUGCGGUCAGAAAUGCAGAUUCUGUAUUAUCGCGCACUUUUCUGGCCUGUCGGACCAGCGAAAUUACUUUGAACAAAUUAGAGUGCUUAAAGCAGGCAAAUUUUAUGCCUUGAAUAUAAACAGCAUGGAAUAAUAGAAUAUGAUCUCGAUACUGUUUGUUUGAUGCUUUUUUGUUUUUCGGAGCAAAAAUGUGUUAUUCAUCUGACAGUACACAUUGGUUUUAAUUGACUAGUGUUGUAUGGUCGAUGGAGUAAAAUUGGCUUAAAGUGACAUUAUCAGCUGAUCGGCUAAAGCAGUAGGUGAAAAAUUGAUGGAAAAUGUUAUUUUAACGUUUCCAUAAAAAUCGGUUUCUUAUCCUACUGUGACGGUUUGCAUUUUGUUCACGACAGU